AAAGCUUCCACCUCCCUACCCACUCACAUUUUUUAUCCCUCGGAGAAGAAAACAACAAAAAUGGAGGGGCCACGUGAUAUCUUCUUGACCAUCAUUUACACAUCACCUACACAAUAUACAUAUAAUCCAUACACACCCAGAAUAGAAGGGGGAUUCUUUUUUUUCAUUAUAUACAAUGCACACAGGGAUUCCAUUUUGGAUUCAUCCAUGGAGAACGCACAAAAUUCAUACACUAGAACAUCCACGGGAAGAUAAUCACACCCAUUAUCAUCAUUCUUUAACUCCCGAAAAGAACCAUUUUUUUCCUUCCUGGGUCUGGCUUCAAAAAUGCCAUUUUUGAGAGUAGAUUAUCCUCUCCUUUUCUUCUCCAUCGCAAACCCAUCAUUACUCCCACAAGGACCACACACCUCACAGCAUCUCACAGACACACACAUAGAGAAAAGAGAAUAGAUCGAUAAGAGAGAGAGUAGCAGAGAGAGAACGAGAAAGAGAAAAAUACCAUUUCUUUUCUUCUGUUCUUCAUUUUUUUUCGCAAGAUACAGUGGGGUAAGGGAUAGAUCAAGUAGAGAGGGUGAAAAAUCAAGAGAGAGAGUGAAGAUUUCAAGUCGUUGGUCACUGUUCCGGCGACUUAGAUCGUCGGAAUUAGUUUUUCAUUCCUCGUUCGAUCGUUUCUCUUUGGAUUUCGGUGAAAUCUCACUGAAAUCGACGUCAAGCUUAUCGUUUCGGCCUGAUCCAUCCUAAAAUUCCCUAGAUCCUCUCGGUCUUCUUGUUUUCUGGAUGAAAUCUAGUUGGUAGCUCAUCGGGGUUCGAUUUUGUACGCGUCUUCAGUUUUCUACCGGAAAUCGGGUUUGGAUUCUGGUGGUCGGCAUUUGAUUCUAGUUUGGAUUUUUGUUCAAGUUGUGGGUUCAUAUCGAGGCUAGUCCGAGAUGCGGUUUCGUCGGUCUGAGGUUCGACGUUGAGUUCCGUUGGACGCGGUUCUAUUCGGAAAGAUCAGUUAAUCAAUAAAGCAUUGAGUUAGUUUAAGGUGGUUGGUUUGUGGCUUCCUGGCUGGUCCUCCACAUCACACCAAAUCUACGGACGGGUUAGUUGUGUCCAACAAGGAUAUAGAGAGUGGCAUCAUGGAUGAAACAAAGAGUCAGGAAAUUGAGAGUUUAAAGGAAGAGAAUUUGAGACUGAGACAACAAAUGAUGGAAAUGUACCGAGCUUGGGACAGUGGGCUACCUCCACCUCCGUUCCCCACUUUUGUCCCUGCAAAUACCUUGAGUCUUCCACCAAAAUCACAAAGUCAGUUUCUUACUGUUGUUGAUACAUCACAGCAUCCCGUAGAAUCCAUUUCACGUCAACUGCACCCCAAUGCUUCCGCUUCUCAUUCUUUAGCUCCUCAGUAUAAGCCUACCACAUUCAUAGCACCACAUACCGUCUGUGCUUUUAUUGCUCAACCUUCUACUGAGGCGUCCACAUUGCUUAUCAAUCCAACAGUUGUGCUGCCCCAAUCUGCUAGUGAACCCAUGUUCAAGGAUCUUGAUGAUCAUUGCUAUACUCUUGAGCCUACAGUUAAGUUAAGAGGAACGCCAAUAUUUCUUACCAAGAAGCCUAGCAUACCAGAAAAAUCAGAGAAAAUGGUAGGGAAAGUGAAGAGUGUAGAAAAUGAUAUGGAAAGUUUCCUGGGAUUUGUGGGUAAAGAAGAUGUUUCAUAUAAAGAUUGGGGCAUGUCUUUAAGUAUCAGCCUUCUUCAAAGCUUUGAGAUAUCGAAAUUUGAGGAACAUGAUGGGCAGAAGGAUUCUGUGAAACAUUUGGGAUGAUAUUGCAAUCAAUCCAGGGAAACUGAAGGAAAGAAGAAGGGAAACACACCUAUUGUCGUGUCAGGGCCAAAGCAGAGUUUGAGAGGUCCAACUCACCAAUAUUGUCAGCCUCAAUCCCGAGCUUACAUAUCAAAUCCACUUACUCAUCUGCAACAAGGUACCUGUUUUCAAAAUCCAAGGAGUUCCAUUCCACUUCCUCAAUGUCCUUUGAAUAAUGCACAAUUGUUUACCCAUCCGUCUUCUUAUCCACAAUGGUAUGUAUGCACCUGUCCCUCAACAUUAUCCUCAACCCCCACAAAUUUACCAAGGAACCUCUAAAUCCACGUUUCAUCCAAGGCCAGAGUUCGCAAUGAUGAGAAAGGAAAAUGAUAAUUUUACUCCUAUUGGGGAAUCUUAUGCGUGUCUGUUCCAGAGAUUGAGACAUAGGGGCAUGAUUACUCCUCUCCUUGGGCACACUCUUAAUCGGCGUUCAAGAAAUUUUGAUCCUAAUGCAUGUUGUGCGUAUCAUUCUGAUGCUCAGGGUCAUAGUAUUGAAGAUUGUCUAGAUUUGAAAAGAGAAAUUGAAAAGAUGAUUCAAGAUGGAUCAAUUAUGGUGCAAAACCUGAAAAGUGAGGGAAGCUCUAGUCACUCUGAUAUGCCAAUCAGUGGCUAAUUUGUCAGGCUGAGCAAUUGAGAAAUCACCCAUCUCCUUACCAGGAAGGGGUCUAGUAGCUUGUUUUGUUUUAUUUUUCUGUUGUCUGAAUUAUUUCAGGUUUGUAGUUCGGGAUCUAUCUUGUUUUGUCCUUUUGUUGAUUAUGUUCAAACCCUUCUAUCUUUUGUUUCGACUAAAUGAAGUGUCUUAUUUUUCUUUGUGUUUUAAAUAUGUGUUGUUUGUUUGUUUGUUUUCUUUACAUAUACAUUUUAUGUUAACUCUAGUGAUAUGACAUGCUAGUGAAAGUUUCAGCCAGAUCUUAAAAUCCAGUUUAAGCAUGAACAUUGAAUCAGAGGGUUAAAGUUAGAAAAAGAGAGCAUAUGAGACAAUAGAUAGAGUGCUGAGACAUUUGGUGACAAGUUAAGGCAAUUAUUUUGAGAAUCACAAGAACAACUUGGUCAUCGAUCGAAAGGCAAGUCCCAAUUAGGUCAAAUAGUGGACGUGUGAUCACUAUAUCAAGAGAAGCAAGAAGAUAAGCAGCUCCACAAAAGCAUGAGUCAUUUGAUGUGAGGAAUGUACAACAAAGGUGGAGUUUACAGAAAAAGUAGUGACGCACAGACUCAAUCUUCUUGAAAAGAUGUCGAAAAUGAUCUUCAUCUCUCACUUCCAAUUGCAUGUUAUGUACUUGCAUUCUCAAGGAUUGAUACGAUGAAGGCAUUUCAUUCUGCUAUCCAAACAUUGUGUCAUCCUUUGUUUACCCCAUUUGAGCCUUAGUGUUAUUUUCUUUCAUGUCAAGAUAGAGUAAGCAAAGUUUAAAGAAUAGUGUCGAGUAAAAAGAUAAAGUAAAAAAGUUACAAAAAAGAGACAAAAAUGUUUCAAAAAAAAGUGUCAAGAAAAAUAGAGUUAGAAAAAAAGAAUCGCAAAGUGAAAAGAGCGAAUAAAAGAAAAAAAGAAAAGAAGAAAAAUCAGAUCAAAGCAAAAGGACAAGCUGCCAGAACUACGCGUGACCUGAUUCUCCUCUCUCGAGGGUGAGAUACGUAGGCUGCCCUACUAAGGGCUCGGUCUAACCAAAUAAACAAUUUAGAAUCACCCAGCCAAAAGAAACUAGGGCAUGAGUUAAUCCUCAUUGUUUGAGUCGAUUCCAAAAGUUGUAAGUCCUAACCCACUUUAAGUGUCGUUUGGGCCUCAUGCCAUCCUUUCUUUCUAACCCUAACCAAUAGACAAGUUACAACCAAAGAAAGACCUUCAGAUCAAUCUUUGGGGAUGUUAAGGCAAAGCAUGCAAGAGAUAUGAUGAUGUAUUUGGGAACUACCUGUCUUCCUCAGCACAAGGAAUUAAGAGAGAAAUAAAAGUGAGAGUCUUAUUGGUGAAAACUCUCACGGGCACCGUAAGGCGAUGGUAAGUUGAGAGAAAUAAAAAUGAGAGAGUCUUAUUGGUGAAAACCCUCACGGGCACCAUAAGACGAUGGCGAGAUGAGAGAAAAAUAAGAGAGGUUUGUUGGUGAAAACCCUUCAAGGUGCCACUAGCCGAAUGAGGUCUCCGAAUGUAAUUGGCCCAAGGAAACAACUCAGUUUCAAGACCAUUAACCCAACAACAACUGGUGGAAGGUGUGGAUGGAAAGAUCAGGCAGAUUAAUUCAACAUGCAUGGCAUAAUCAUUAGAGUUGACAGUCAUUUUUAGAUAAAUUUUUAAUUUCUUUGUUUCAAAUGGGGACAUUCAUUGUCUUUUCUUUCUUCUUUAUAUUUUUAUUUUUAUUUUUCUUGGGUCAGUUGUCCAAAUAAAAAUCACUGUCAUUUUUUUUCUUGUCUUUGAGUCAAGUUCUUAUCAAAACAAGUGAGGAAAUAUUUCAAAACUGCUACCAGCUUCUCCAAUUGCACAAAGCAAGACAAAAGUCAGCACAUAAAAGAGACAUGAUUGUUAGCCUAAAUAAGGCAUACAAAUUUUGUCAACAAACAAGUCUGGGAAUUUAUGAAAAUACUAAGAUUCAAAGGGUUUAUUUGAGGAGCAUGGCAAAGCAGAGAUACUGUGUUUGUUUCAGAGUCACUCUUAAUAAUUUGAGUUUGGGUCAAUGAUACAGUAAGUCAACAUCCUAUGUUAAUGGUUGGAAGCAAGGUUAAAUGUGAAGGGGGCAAAAGCGAUUGCCGUGAAAGCUAAGCCACAAACCAACCACCAUAUUUUUAAACUAACAAGUUUUCUUUGUAUGAAAUAGGAACACAUGCUACCUUCGAAUCAAGGAUUUCAAAGCCUAAAUAUCAAGGGCCGUAAUAUUCUCACUUCUACAAAUGCAAGAGGUAAUGUUGCUGCACAUAUUUGGUAUUCAAACUCAUGGUAAUUCAAGCGACAUUUGUAAGGAGACACAUUUUCUUGUUUUGGUAAUUCUAGCAACAUUUGUAAAGAGACGCACUUCCUUGUUUGGGUAAUUCCAGCAAUAUUUGUAAGGAAACGCACUUCCUUAUUUGGUAAAUCCAGCAACAUUUGUGAGGAAACACACUUUCUUGUUUGGUAAUUCAAGCGGUAUUUGUAAGGAGAUGCACUUCCUUGUGUGGAAAAUUCAAGCAACAUUUAUAAGGAGAUGCACUUCCUUGUUUGGUAAUUUGAUUGACAUUUGUAAGGAGACGCACUUCCUUGUUCGGGUAAUUCCAGUAACAUUUGUUAGGAGACGCACUUCCUUGUUUGGGUAAUUCCAGCAACAUUUGUAAGGGGACGCACUUCCUUGUUUGGACAAUUCAAGCAACAUUUGUAAGGAGACACACUUCUUUAUUUUGGUAAUUCAAGCGCUAUCAUAAGGAGACGCACUUUCUUGUUUUGGUAAUUCAAGCAACCUUGGAGACGCACUUCCUUGCUUGGGCAAUUCAAGCAACAUUUGUAAGGAGAUGCACUUCCUUGUUUGGUUAAUUCAAAAAAUAUUUGUGAGGAGACGCACUUCGUUGUUUGAAUAAUUCAAGCGGCAUUGGUAAGGAGACGCACUUCCUUGGUUUGGUAAUUCAAGCGGUAUUGGUAAGGAGAUGCACUUCCUUGUUUUGAUAAUUUAAGCAACAUUUGUAAGGAGACGCACUUUCUUGUUUGAUAAUUUAAGCAACAUUUGUAAGGAGACUCACUUCCUUGUUUGGUAAUUUGAUUGACAUUUGUAAGGAGACACACUUCCUUGUUUGGUAAUUCCAGCAACAUUUGUGAGGAGACGCGCUUUCUUGUUUGGGUAAUUCCAGCAACAUUUGCAAGGGGAUGCACUUCCUUGUUUGGACAAUUCAAGCAACAUUUGUAAAGAGACACACUUCCUUAUUUUGGUAAUUCAAGCGCUAUCGUAAGGAGACACACUUCCAAAGGAGACGCACUUUCUUGUUUUGGUAAUUCAAGCAACAUUGGAGACACACUUCCUUCCUUGGGCAAUUUAAGCAACAUUUGUAAGGAGAUGCACUUCCUUGUUUGGUUAAUUCAAGAAACAUUUGUGAGAAGACGCACUUCCUUGUUUGAGUAAUUCAAGUGGCAUUGGUAAAGAGACGCACUUCCUUGGUUUGGUAAUUCAAGUGGCAUUGGUAAGGAGAUGCACUUCCUUAUUUUGAUUAUUCAAGCAACAUUGGUAAGGAGAUACAUUUCUUUGAUCGGGUAAUUCGAACUUUGCUUUUGCGUAAUGCACUUCCUAGCAGUCCCCUUGAUUUCUAGAAAAUGAACUUUCUAGUCAAUUUAUUGCACUUAAUCCUUUGGAGAUGCACUUUUUUGCUAGUUUUCAUUUGUCAGGUGGCACACUUUUUAACUUAAACUUGUAUCUCUAGAAGACGCACUUUCUAGUUAGAAUCCCUCACUUUAAUUCUUAGGAGACGCACUUCCUAGUCUUGGUUAUUCAAUUUUACUCUCAAGCGAUGCAUUUCUUGGUCAGAGUCUUGAUUCAUCAUUGCAACAUGCAAGUAGGUAUGAUGUGACUUUUCCAAAAGUCUUCUAAUGAUAAACUUGAAAAAAAAAAUUUAAUUUCUGUUUUUGAAACUUUAGUUUUCUGGCAAACGGAAUUUCUCUUUAUAAUAAUAUUUGUUUGGGAUAAUUUUCUUUUUAGUUUUGAUGUGAUUUCAGGAGCCUGCCCGAAGCACAGAGCGAAUAAAUGAAAAAUUAAGCAACAAGGUGAAGAAAUUGAAAGUUAAACAGAUUGAAAAAUAGCAAGUCAGGAGCCCGCCUGUAGAACAGGGUGAAGAAGUUGAAAGCAUGGCAACAAUUUGAUGAAAUAGCAAGUCAGGAACCCGCCUGAAGAAUAGGGUGAUGAAACUCAAGUCAAGAGUCCAAAAGAAGCUGUAUACAUAGGAUUUUUGUAAUUUCAUUUAUGCUUUAACUUGUAAUUUUCAUUUUUAAUGUAAUGACAGAGCCGUGGACCAGAACCUCGAUGGAACCUCACUCGACUCUCCAACUUGGUAUAGUCCAUCUCUUUCCAAUCUUAUGAAAUACCCGUGACUUGAUUCUCUCA
Capsicum annuum is the source of this 6880-nucleotide long non-coding RNA. RefSeq lists it as uncharacterized. The record is from RefSeq and is a predicted model, not a curated record. Lineage: Eukaryota; Viridiplantae; Streptophyta; Magnoliopsida; Solanales; Solanaceae. The transcript has 2 exons.